UACGUAGGGGGCGAGCGUUGUCCGGAAUUACUGGGCGUAAAGAGCUCGUAGGUGGUUUGUCGCGUUGUUCGUGAAAACUCACAGCUUAACUGUGGGCGUGCGGGCGAUACGGGGCAGACUAGAGUACUGCAGGGGAGACUGGAAUUCCUGGUGUAGCGGUGAAAUGCGCAGAUAUCAGGAAGAACACCAGUGGCGAAGGCGGCUUACUGGUCCGGAA
RNAcentral lists this ribosomal RNA (217 nucleotides) under uncultured bacterium. Its description in RNAcentral is "partial 16S ribosomal RNA". It matches the Rfam family "Bacterial small subunit ribosomal RNA", at positions 524 to 739 of the family's 1533-position model. The record is from RNAcentral.